This 252-nucleotide ribosomal RNA is filed under the name uncultured bacterium. RNAcentral's name for it is "partial 16S ribosomal RNA". It matches the Rfam family "Bacterial small subunit ribosomal RNA", at positions 524 to 776 of the family's 1533-position model. The record is from RNAcentral.
UACGUAGGUGGCAAGCGUUGUCCGGAAUUAUUGGGCGUAAAGCGCGCGCAGGCGGUCCUUUAAGUCUGAUGUGAAAGCCCACGGCUCAACCGUGGAGGGUCAUUGGAAACUGGGGACUUGAGUGCAGGAGAGAAGAGUGGAAUUCCACGUGUAGCGGUGAAAUGCGUAGAGAUGUGGAGGAACACCAGUGGCGAAGGCGGGUCUCUGGACAGUUCCUGACACUGAGACACGAAGGCCAGGGGAGCAAACGGG